RNAcentral lists this ribosomal RNA (376 nucleotides) under uncultured bacterium. RNAcentral's name for it is "bacterial SSU rRNA". It matches the Rfam family "Bacterial small subunit ribosomal RNA", at positions 524 to 898 of the family's 1533-position model. The record is from RNAcentral.
UACGUAGGGGGCGAGCGUUGCUCGGAUUUACUGGGCGUAAAGAGCGCGUAGGCGGCCAGGGAAGUCCGGUGUGAAAUUCCUCGGCUCAACCGAGGACCCGCAUCGGAAACUCCCUGGCUUGAGUCCAGGAGGGGAGGGUGGAAUUCCCGGUGUAGCGGUGAAAUGCGUAGAGAUCGGGAGGAACACCGGUGGCGAAGGCGGCCCUCUGGAAUGGUACUGACGCUGAGGCGCGAAAGCUGGGGGAGCGAACGGGAUUAGAUACCCCGGUAGUCCCAGCCGUAAACGAUGGGCACUAGGUGUGGGAGGUAUUGACCCCUUCCGUGCCGUAGCUAACGCAUUAAGUGCCCCGCCUGGGGAGUACGACCGCAAGGUUGAA